CGGGUUGUCAUUGGGGAGUAGCCAUCCUCACCCCGCGCAGCCUCCAGGCUGCGUAUUCCAGAGGAAUCCGCGUCAACAGACUUGAAGCCCCGGCUUCAUGGCGUGGAUGGUCAACGACACGUUCGGUGUCGACAGCCCGGCGAGACCUUUGGCC
Molecule: small RNA, 154 nt
Filed under: Dyella jiangningensis
Lineage: Bacteria; Pseudomonadati; Pseudomonadota; Gammaproteobacteria; Lysobacterales; Rhodanobacteraceae
Description: Manganese sequence
Rfam family: Manganese Mn2+ riboswitch aptamer (yybP-ykoY) (bases 1-124)
About the family: This RNA was originally discovered in E. coli during a large scale screen and was named SraF. The family was later found to exist upstream of related families of protein genes in many bacteria, including the the yybP and ykoK genes in B. subtilis. The specific functions of these proteins are unknown, but this structured RNA element may be involved in their genetic regulation as a riboswitch.
Source: RNAcentral